AAAAAAAUGAAGAUCGCUGGAUAUAAAAGUUCUUCAUAGUUUGUCUUUUGCAAGCCCCAUCAGGUUUUUAAUCCUUACAAUGGGGGGACCGAAUUUUCAAGGCCUUUGCAAACAGUUUGGAUCCAGAUGAGACGCCACAGAACAAACACACAGACACACAAACCAACCAACCAACCAACAGACAGGGCAAAAACAAUAUGUCCCCCGCUAUAAGUGGUGGGGGACAUAAAAAGUAAAACACACUGUUCAUGUAUCUCUUUAUUUAUACAUGCAUCAACUAUUCUGGUUAUGAAACCAUUUUUUAAAUAAUAUAAAAUGAGCAUAUAAAUUAUAUGGAAAAAAAUAUGUCAAGAGAAAUAAAGCUGUAAAAAUCUCA
Dreissena polymorpha is the source of this 376-nucleotide long non-coding RNA. RefSeq lists it as uncharacterized. The record is from RefSeq and is a predicted model, not a curated record. Lineage: Eukaryota; Metazoa; Mollusca; Bivalvia; Myida; Dreissenidae. The transcript is spliced from 2 exons.